GCAUUGGUGGCUCAGUGGUAGAAUUCUUGCCUUCCAUGUGAGUGACCUGGGUUCAAUUCUUGGACAGUGCA
RNAcentral lists this transfer RNA (71 nucleotides) under Loxodonta africana (African savanna elephant). It matches the Rfam family "tRNA". From Rfam's summary of the family: Transfer RNA (tRNA) molecules are approximately 80 nucleotides in length. The record is from Rfam by way of RNAcentral. Lineage: Eukaryota; Metazoa; Chordata; Mammalia; Proboscidea; Elephantidae.